GGCAGGUGCAGUGGCACACACCUGUAAUCCUAGCAACUCAGGAGGCUAAGGCAGGAGGAUCACAAGUUCAAGGACAGCCUUGGCAAUUUAGAGAUACCCUGCCUCAA
Molecule: small RNA, 107 nt
Filed under: Marmota monax (woodchuck)
Lineage: Eukaryota; Metazoa; Chordata; Mammalia; Rodentia; Sciuridae
Source: RNAcentral